RNAcentral lists this long non-coding RNA (34569 nucleotides) under Salvia miltiorrhiza (redroot sage). Its description in RNAcentral is "long non-coding RNA (SMIL_LNC007457)". The record is from RNAcentral. Lineage: Eukaryota; Viridiplantae; Streptophyta; Magnoliopsida; Lamiales; Lamiaceae.
AGAAAUGAUUGACAAGAAUAUGCAGUGUGUAUCAUCCAUACUUGAAUUGGCUCUGAAAUGCUCUGCGGACUCUCCCGGGGAUAGAAUCAACAUGAAACAAGCACAUGCAGAGUUGCAGAAAAUCAAACAUCGAUUUUUCCAAUGAGAUUCAAGUAAGCUAUUUCAAUGUUCUAUGUUACUUCUAAGAUAAUAUUGUUCUAUUACGAUUUACUUAUUUUCCCAAUGAUAUUCGUGUUUCACAUAUCUUUCGUGAAGGGAACCAAGUUGCCGACAUUAUGGCAAAUCCAAAUGCUCCGACUGGUUGGUGGAUGACAUAGAGAACGGAAAAUUUGGCCUGGUCCUUUUGUUGAUUUUUGCUAUCAUUGCUAAUUCAGUUCUUCUUGUUUCUACUUUUUGUUCUUGUUGUAAUAGACUAGUACUCUUUUUUCUUUAAUAGUGAUUUUCCCAUUAGAUUUUCGCCAUAAAGGUUUUAAUGAUGUUCGACCCUUAGUUAGUGUCUUUGUGCUUUCAGUGUUUGCUAGGUUUUCUUUUUCUUUUUUCUCCUUUUGUAUAAUUUCUAUUUCAACAACUGAUGCUCAAUCUCUACAUAUUUUAUGUUCUUGAGUUUACAUACAAUCUUCUUUGUCACAGCUUAAAAGGUGAAAUCUUUCUGAACAACGCCUCUGGCCUCCUCGACCAUUCUCACCAACUAAAACAACCCCUCUCAAAAGAGUUCUGAAAAUUUUGAUAUUCCGUUCGCAGCCGAACUUGAUCAAGCUGCCCAGAAGCUCAAACCCGAUCUUCACACGGCAUAGAAGGUAGCAGCAAUUGAUUGUGACACUCAUCGAGCACACUUUCAAUUCGACGUCCCAUUGGCGCAUUUCGUCGAACAUGUAGAGGGCAGCUCGGUAUUUCCCCCCAACUUUACCCUGUAACUCAACAAUUUGUUAUGCGACUAUAUAUCCAAUCAAACAGCCUCUUUUCCCCAUCGAGAUUACUAAAAUAUACAUGAUUGGAUAACAAUAUUUUGGUGGGCAUAUGAACUAUAAGAUUACUUAUAAUCAUAAGGAUGCUUCGUCAUAUUUUACUUUCUAGUUAUUCCAGAGAUGCCGCGCAGGUCAUAUGCUCACUUUGUAACACUAAACGUGGGUUUUUAGUAUUAAUUUGGAGCUUCCAUUGUUCGUGAGUUUUUCUUGUUUUUUUUUAUUGAAUGUUUUUUUUUUUUGCCAAUUCUGAUGCAUAUGCUAUUGAUAUGCGAUAGGUCUCACUUCUCACAACUAAUGUUGGCCCAACAAUUUCCCGUUGAAAAUAUGUUAAGACUGUGAAACAUAAAUUUAUAUAUUUAUUUGCAGAGGACCAUUUCCACCAAACCUUUUUAAUAAAGGGGCCAAAUUAAAUGGGUGUUUGGCUAAGUUUAUUUUAAAAAAUUUAUAAGUUUUUGGAGCUUAUAAGAUACUUGAAGAGCUUAUAAUUUAUAAAUUGUCAAAAUAUUUGAGUAAUUGAAUUUACACAAAAACUUGGGUACAACUAGAUGUAUCGUACAAUUGGGUUGCACCUGCACUCAGAUCCUGACCCCCCUGACCCUAAUCCGCAUCAUGAUUCAAAUCGUGUAAAUCACACUAUUCUGAGUGCGGGUGCAACCCGGUUAUACCCAAGACCACCUCUUGAAUUUAUAAGUUAGUUAAAGAGAGAAUUUUUAGUUAGAGAGAUAAAAAUUGAAGAGAGAUGAACUUGAGAGAGCGUAUGAUAAAAAUAAAAAGUUAUAGUUAAAAAAUAACUUAUAAAUUAUUUAUAAAUUGUUGGAGCUUAUUUUUAGAGUUUAUAAGUUGUUUAAUAACUUAUUUUGUCAUUAUGAAAAAAUAGGUUAAGGUAGAGGAACUUAUUUUUAAGAGAAUUUAUAAAUUAUUGGAACCAGGGGCGGAUGUAUGCUAUGGCUGCACUGGGCUCCAGCCCAGUGCAAAGCCCAAAUUUUUUCUAUAUAUAUAUAUAAUAUAUAAUACCAAGCCCACCUCAUAGAUUACCCAUAGCCCAGCCCAACUAUCUAAAGAAAACAUAAAAACAUUCUAACCUAUGUCAAAGACUCAAAAGUGACGCACACAGUAGAAAAAAAAUCAGAAAAUAACGUCUCUCUCUCCUGAGCAAUUGCAAAGCAAUAAUUUCUCCUAUUGUGGCUGUGGAGAAUUGAACUUCCAAUUUAUUUACUUAUUCUCGUCUCAUAUUAUUCAAGGUAUGUAAAUUCAAGAACCCUAAAUUAGAAUUCAUAUUAAAAUUAAGUUUAUUUUUGUUGAAUUUUACUGAUGAAAUUGAAACUUGAAAUAGAGGUAGAAGAAUUUCUUAUCUUUUAUUUGAAACUCACCUGUAAAUUGCAAUUAAUAUUUUAAAUAUAUAAAAAUAAAUGUAAUAAAAUUCUUAAUGUUUUUUUAUAUCUUGCAGUUCUUCAAUAAUUUAAAUGGAGCAUCAACAUAUUGCAAAGAAAGGAAAAGGACUUAUAUCAUUCUUUCUUUAAGAACGUGAUCGUCAAGAUACUCAAGACAAUGGAGAUAGCUUGGAACCUUCAAAUUCAACCAUGGCCGCUGGAAAUCAAACUAAUCAAUCUCCUUCACUUGAAUCACCUCCUAUGGAGCAAAAUUCAGUUACAUGUAUUGAGCGUGAUCCGGGUAAAAGGAAACAAUUGUGUGAAUAUUCUGUUAAUGCACGAGAUGAUAUAAGACGUGCAUAUCUAAAAGCUGGGCCUUAUCAACCGAAAAUGGAAGCGUAUCCUGUUACAAAGUUUGGCACUCAAAAUCGUAGCUUUCAGAAGAGAUGGUUUGAUAAGUUUCAUUGGCUGGAGUAUUCGCUUUCCACAAAUAAGGCAUAUUGUUUCUAUUGCUUUCUUUUCAUCAGUGAAGUUAAUCUGCCUGGCUCUUCUGCAUUAGUCAAGGAAGGAUUUGACAAUUGGAAAAGAAUAAAUCAAGGAAAAAAUUGUGCAUUCCUUACUCAUGUUGGUUCUGCAGCUACAUCACCACAUACUAUGUGUUUAAGACGUGCAGAAGAUUUGAUGAGACCAGUUGGGCAUAUAGACAAAGUGAUGCAUUCUCAAACGAUUAUUGAGAAGGAGAGGAAUCGACUGCGCUUGAAGACCUCGAUCACAAGCCUCCGAUGGCUUGCACUUCAAGGUUGUGCUUUUAGAGGUCAUGAUGAGUCUUCAUCUUCAUCGANCCGUGGCCGCCUGUUUCGCCUGAAUCGGAGUUCUGUGGAGGAAGUUAUGGCCGUUCUCCCGAAACUGCCGGAACUUGAUUUCCUGCGAAAAUCUGACUCCAGCUCCUCACGUUUCCUGCGCCCCACAGCUCUCCAAAACCCGACUAAAAUUUACGGUUGGCUUCGAGUUUCUAUGUCUCCUUUAGAGUUUGUAAAUUGAUCUCAUAUUUAUACUAGUCUUUAAAGAGUUCUAGUUCUAAUAGGAAACAAAAAAAUAAUACUAAUAAUAAUAAUAAUAAUAGUCUAGCUAAAAUUAAUGGUGCAUAUCUAUAUGUAUCAUGUAAUUAUUUAAAAAAAAUAAUAAGCUAGACAAGAAAAUACUAUUAAUUAAACUUAUAAAAUAAAUCUAAAUUAUCGGGGCUCCCAUUCCGUCGGAAAUCGCUGCCGCAAUAUCCGGUGAACCCGCCGCCUGGCUUUUCUCGAUGAGGAGUCGCCUAGCUUUUCUCGAUAAGGAGUCGCCUCUUUCUCUCAAAUCCGGCGAAAUCCGGUGAUAAAGGCUGACGAUGCCCGUCGCCAUCUACACUAUCGGCGUGCUGUUGAAGAAGGACGCCUCCAAAUCAGAGACCAUGGCCAACAUGAUCUCGAUCUCGAUUGGGGUCACGAUCACCGCCUACGACGAGGCGAAGUUCGAUUCGUUGGGGGUGAUUCUGCAAUUGGGGGGCGGCGACGUUCGAGGGAGAAUUCGAGUUUUCAUUUCGAUUAUGUGAUUUUGGGGAGCAAUGACGCCGAUUUGGAAUUACCGAUUUGGGGCUUGGGAACUUGAUUUCGUGAUUUUCCUCAUCUGACGGCGAUUGACGCCGAAAAAGUUGGUCGGAGAAGAUGAGAUGUGAUUUUUUUUAAUGAACGGUGUGCAGAUUAGCCCCCGAACUCCAAAAAGGGAAAAUGUGCAGAUUAGCCCCUGAACUCCAAAAAAACGGUGCAGAUCGCCCCCUUUGACUAACGGCCCAUAACGGUGUUAAGUCAGAGGGGGCGAUCUGCACCAUUUUUUUGAGUUCGAGGGCCAAUCUGCACACACAGUUAGUAAGGGGACUGAAACGCUCUAAGGGCCUCCACUUGAUAGGGGCCUAUCUGCACCUUAACCCUUCACAAAUUUAAGAAAAGUUGUAACUCUCUCUAGGAGAAUAUAUAAGUUUUAAGCCCCUCAAGCACGUGCCUAUUAAACAAUCUUAUAAAUUGAAAAUUAAAUCAAACUUGAAUUUUUUCAAUGUAUCAAACUCGAAUACUUUAAUAUGAAAUUUGAUAUGAUCCUACUUACACAGUUACACACAAUUCUAUUGCAUCCCUAAUUACUAUUUUUUUUUUUCCUUUCUAAACAAAUCUCAAGGAGUUCGAGGGUUUGUUAAAGUGGAUCAUUAACAAAAAUAUAAAGUAUUAUACACACCCCGAAAAAAAGUAUUAUGACACAUACAGUAUUCUUAUUGAGUUGAAUUAUAAAUUGGGCACAGAAAAAGAAAGAGAAAUGAAUUUUUUUUUUUUGAAUUAAGAUUAAGUAUGAAAUUUAACUUGAAUUAAGAUGAAAAAUUAAACUGUUAAAAAUUUAAUUGAAGAAUCUAAUCAGAGUUGAAAUUACUGCCAUCGAAAGUCAAUUUGGGAUUAAGGAAUUUCAAAAGUGACAUUAGCACUACCCCUAUAAAUUUACUUUUAUUCCACUUACACCUAUUUUAACAAUUUUUUUAAAAUCCGUGAGAAACCCCAAAUAAAACUAUUUUUCGUGGACAGAGGGAGUAUAAUCUAACGAAAUAAUAAUAAUAAUAAUAAUAAUAAUAAUAAUAAUAAUAAUAAUAAUAAUAAUAAUAAUAAUAAUAAUAAUAAUAAUAAUAAUAAUAAUAAUAAUAAUAAUAAUAAUUCCCGAACCCGAAUAGAAGUAGUGGAUCUCCUUGAGAGACGUCCCUAGAUUAUUAAGUGUUAGAAACAAAAAUAUUUUAUGAUUUUCAAAAACUUAUUUUAUACUUGUAAUACCUCGAUUUUGCCUCAACAAGAUUUUUAGAGGAGUCAUUGAUUAAGUUGGUUCGCACCCCGGAGAAAAAUUGUUUUAAUUCCAAUAAAUGAUUUGUUAAAGUUUUAAAGCAAAUAACCAAACUUUGUACUUUGCAUAAUUUCAAUAAUAUUAUAUGAGUGUGAUUUAAAGUUUUCAUAUGAAUAUCACCUGAGUUUCAAAUGAUGGAUCUUCAAGUCCAUUUAUUUUUGAAGUUGGGCUGAACCUAAUUGAUUGCUACUUUUAAAAGUAUUUCGGCUAAAUUCUUUUAAGCCCAUUACAUGUAUUAUUACGCAUAUUUAUACAACUACUUUCAAUCACUACAUUCUAUAUUCUUCACGAGAAAAUUCUGAUCUCUUGUGUAUAUACAAGAGCACACCAUAUUGCACAUAACAUCUUUAAGUUUUUUUUUCUCUUUUAAGAAUUUUCAAAAUUUGACUUUUAUGUUGGGCCCCUAUCUAUUUAAUUUUGUUUGGGCUCUUAUUUACUAAAUGGGCUUCAUUUCUUUUAAGAUUGGGCCGAUUUGUUUUAACAUCUUUAUUUGUUGGGUUUGCCCAUUUAAUUUAUUAAUUGAACCAAUGACUGGUUAAUUUGGAUUCUGAUUUAAUUAAUUAAAUUUCUCAUUAAUUAUUUCUGUCCAAGUGUUAUUAUAUGCAUAUAUUGUUUUAUUAUAUGUUUUAAUUUAUAUACUAAAGUCUUACCAAUUUAUGGAAGAAAAAUAUUUUUUAAGUUGAUUUUAUGCUCAAGUUUUAUUUGGAACCCUUAGCAAAGAAAAUCAAUUUCAAAUUUUAUUUUGAAAAUCCGAAUGUUGCGAAUCUAGUUAGAAAGUGAUGACAAGUUAUGAAGGCUAAGGCUGAUUUUAGGACUACAACUUAAUUAAGUUGAGAACUUAUCUUGCAGGUCCUAUAGAAGAAGAUAUUUAGGUUUCCGAUCAAGCCCGGCCCUAUUAAAUUGUUUGGAUUGUCUCCAAAUCAGGUGAGGCUUUAUUUAUGAAAUGUAUGUUUAAGCUAAUAAGCUCGGUUUUAUGAAAAGUUAAAGUUGAUGGUUCAUGCUUAAAAUAUUUUUGCUCUCUAUUGAUUAUUGCUUCUUUAGUGCCGGUGUCUCUCCUGUUGAAGUUACCACAAAUCUAAACCCGGGUGGCUGUUGAAGUUACCACAUUGAAUGAGGCCUUGUUGUAGAUCUGAUUGAUUUUGAGUGAGUGAGUUUGCUGUUGAGAAUAACUGAGGUGUAGCAUGAAUUUUGAUUUUUCUCUUGCUGAAUACCUUAGUUUAGAUGAGAUUUUCAUGCAUUUUGUUUAGUGUAUGUUACUUAAUAUGCACCACAUAUAUAUAUGUAUUUAGCUAUUGAAUUUUGUGUAAAAUGUAGUAUUUCAUAUGCUGUAAUAUAUUUACAAAAAUGUGUAUACUUAAUAUUAAGAAAUGUGAAUAUUUUAGUAUUUAGUCAUUGUGUGCCUGGAAAACAACGUUCAGUUUGUAAAUUUGCAGAUGAGAUCCUCUGUCCCACUAUUUUGUGUGUACCACUCUUAAUUUAUCUAUUUUAUAAUUAUUUUUUAUAAAAAUAAAAAAUAUUAUUAUAAACCCUAAUUGGAUGAGUGAACCCUUGUUAAUUAUAUUUUUAUAAUAUUAAAGUAUAAUAAAUUAAAAUUGAAGAAAAUAUAAUUAAAAAUUAUAAAUAAAUUAAGAGUGGUACACACAAAAUAGUGGUACCUUAUAAUUUGAAUCCACUUUUAAUAUUUUAUUUUUAUCUCUUCGACCAGUAAUUGUCAACCUAAUGGUAGUACCCUUCCCAUUUUCAUUUUGGAUUUUUAUUGUAUUGAUAAUUAGUUAGUCAAAUUGAAUUAGUCAUGAUAAUUUGUAAAGUAUAAAAUACUCUGAUAAUUUGUGCAAAUCACAUGAUUUGCAGCCAAUCGAAACUGUAAUAAUUUAUUUAUUAAUGGUGCAUUUUAUAAUUUUUUGGUACUGGGAUUGAAUAUACUGGCCUUGACGUAUGAACUAAUUUCACACAAUACCCAUCGACUAAUUAUUUAUUUUAUUUAUGUUGUUGGCAUACAGUUAAAUUAUUUAUUAAGAUACAUGUAAUGUGUGAAUUCUAAUAAUUUGUCAUAUUUUAAAAAGUAAUUUGCACCAAACUUUAUGAAUGCAUGCAAAUUCAAUGUUAUGAUUCGUAAGUUUGAAAUUCUGGCCAUUGCAAUCCAUGUGUAAUCCAUGUGUAGUUGAAUAAAAUUAUUCAAGAAUUUGUCUCAACCUCAAGUCUUCGUCUCAGUCUCUAUAAGUGAUUGGGGCCGACAUCUAAGGACGACUUGACUCAAACGGAAAAAACGUACAAAAAACAAAAAACACAUCAAAAGCCACACCCAUCAAGACUCUCAACUCUUGUAAUAUUUGUUUAUAUAUAUGAUGAUGAUUAUUGGAUGCAGUUAUUAGCGACUUCAUUGUCACAAUACAAUCACAAUUAAUUUGCAGCCAUGGAGAAAAAGCUUUAUUGCAUUUUGCCUUAUGCAUUCCUAAUCACCAUAACCUUCCCAAUGCUUUCUUCUGAAGCCAAAGCCAAACAACCUCUGAGCCUUGCAACUGAUCAAACUGCCCUUCUUUCACUCAAACAUACAUCUCUUUUACUUGCAACUAAUUGGACCAACUCCACCUCCGUCUGCACCUGGAUUGGCGUCACUUGCAGCUUCCGCCACCACAGAGUAGCUGCCUUGAAUCUCUCCAACAUGGCUCUCUCCGCCACCAUUCCUCCACAGCUCGGACACCUCUCCUUCCUCAUCUCCCUCGACCUCUCCAACAACCUUUUCUAUGGAGAUUUCCCACACGAAUUGUCUCUCCUUCGCCGUUUGAAGUUCAUAUCUUUCCGACUCAACCACUUCGCCGGAGACAUCCCUCCGAUGUUGGGUCAGUUACCAAAAUUAGAGUACUUGUCUUUACGGAACAACAGCUUCAUAGGUUCCAUCCCAAAAUCGCUCUCAAACCUCACAAACCUACAAUUUCUUGACUUAUCAUUCAAUUCUCUAAGUAGAGAAAUUCCAAAAGAGUUGGGAAGACUUCAAAGUCUACAAACUCUGAAUGUUCAAUUCAAUCAUUUGUCGGGUGCUAUACCAUCAGCCAUAUUCAACAUCUCGACCCUUGUAGCUAUAGCAUUGUCAUACAAUGAAUUGAGUGGAAGUCUUCCAACAGACAUGUGCCGUAAUCUUCCAUUUCUUGUUGGGAUUUAUCUUUCUUACAAUCAGCUGAGUGGCGCGAUUCCCACAAAUCUAUCCCAAUGUUCACGGCUUGAGGGGUUAAAUCUUGGUGGUAACAAUUUGAAUGGUAUGGUUGAAGUUCUUAUCACAUAAAUUUGUGUAAAUGAGAUUUGAUUAGUUUCAUGACACUUUUUUUUGCCAGGAAUACUACCACAUGAGAUUGGCCAUCUUCAGAGUCUGGUUACUUUUGCUGCUGAACGGAAUGAGAUUGCAGGCUCAAUUGAUUUCAGUAUUUUCAUGAAUAUGUCUUCUCUGCAAACCUUAAUACUAUGGCGUAACAAAUUCACGGGGAACCUUUCAAGGGAUGUCGGGAAUAUUACCAUGCUAACAGAGUUACAGCUCGAUGAAAACCAUUUCACAGGUACAACAGAGUAAUUUUCAUGUAAAUUGUCUGUUUAGCUACAAUAUGUGUUUUUAGUUACAGUUUUGAAAUCUCAUCUUUUGCAGGNGCACUAGCACGUAACAAAUUCACGGGGAACAUUCCCUCAAAUCUAUCCCAAUGUUCACAGCUUGAAGUGUUGAGCCUCUCUGGAAACUCUUUUAGUGGGGAGAUACCUUCAGAAAUCGGCUACUUAACAUCUCUUCGGGAGUUAUAUCUUGGUGCUAACAAUUUGAAUGGUAUAUAUGGUUCAAGUUCUUAUCACAUAAAUUUGUGUAAAUGAGAUUUUAUUAGUUUCAUGACACUUUUUUUGCCAGGAAUACUACCACAUGAGAUUGGCCAUCUUCAGAGUCUGGUUGAGUUUGCUGUUGAAUGGAAUGAGAUUGCGGGCUCAAUUGAUUUCAAUAUUUUCAUGAAUAUGUCUUCUCUGCAAACCUUAGCACUAGGGCGCAACAAAUUCACGGGGAACCUUUCAAGGGAUGUCGGGAAUAUUACCAUGCUAACAGAGUUAGAGCUCUAUGAAAACCAUUUUACAGGUACAACGGAGUAAUUUUCAUGUAAAUUGUCUGUUUAGCUACAAUAUGUGUUUUUGAAAUCUCAUGUUUUGCAGGGCUUAUUCCCUCUGAAUUUGGCCAACUUUACCAUUUGGAGAUAUUAUCAUUAUCAUCGAACAUCGUUAGUGGUUCGAUUCCACAUGAGCUCUUUAACAUUUCAACACUUCGAAUUCUUUCACUUGUCGACAAUCCUCUGUCAGGGGUUCUUCCAACCCAUUUAUGCCACGCCUCUCCCUUUCUUGAACGACUUUAUCUUGGCCGAAAUUCCAUGAGUGGAGAAAUACCCAACUCCAUCUCUAACUGUUCUCAACUCACAAUUCUCGCACUUGGUGAAAACAAAUUCAGUGGUUAUAUACCUACUCAUCUCGGCAACCUAAGACUUCUCCAAAUUCUUGAACUGUCCAGCAACAAUCUUACCCAGGCACCAUCUUCUUCCUUCAUUACUUCAUUGACAAAUUGCAGGUCUCUAACUCUUUUGUCAAUUGCUGAUAAUCCUCUAAAUGGUGUCAUUCCAGCUUCUCUCGGGAACUUAUCUUCCUCACUCGAAAUAUUCGCUGCCGAGAACUGCAAAUUCAGUGGCAGCAUUCCUGCUGAAAUAGGCAAUCUAAGCAAUUUGAUGACAUUGGAGUUGUCAGCAAAUGAGUUAUCUGGUAAUAUUCCACUAACUAUAAGCCAUUUGCAUGAACUUCAAGGAUUAAAUCUGUCUCGUAACAUGUUGGGAGGCUCAAUACCACAUGCUAUAUGUGAUCUAUUCAGCCUCGAUACUUUAGAUAUGAGCCAUAAUCAAUUUUCAGGCCCAAUUCCUAAAUGUCUGGGAAAUGUCUCUUCUUUAAGAAAUCUUCAUCUAGACUCCAACAUGUUGAAUUCAAGCAUACCUUCAAGCUUAUGGGGCCUAAAAGAUUUGAACUCUCUAGACUUGUCCUCAAAUUCAUUAAAUGGGUUCUUACCACAAGAGAUAAGUAACUUAGGAGCAGCAAUACAUAUAAACCUAUCGAUGAAUCAGUUGUCAAAGUCUAUUCCUAGCACUAUUGGGAAGUUGCAGAAUUUGAUUAAUCUGUCUUUGGCAAAUAAUAGACUAGAAGGUUCUAUUCCUGUGUCUAUGGGAAGCAUGAUCAGUUUGGCAAAUCUCGACUUGUCGUACAACAACCUCUCUGGUUCAAUUCCAAAGUCUUUAGAAGCACUUCAACACCUCGACUACUUUAAUGUCUCUUUCAAUAGUUUAAGUGGAGAAAUUCCUAAUGGAGGUUCUUUUAGAAACUUCACUACGGAUUGUUUUAAGGGUAAUGAGGCAUUGUGUGGAAUCCCCAAGUUCCAUGUCCAAAUUUGCUCUUCAAUUUCUAAUCACAGAUCAAAGAGAAAGAAGGUGGAACGAGCUUCAUUUAUUGUUUUCGGGGUUGUGGCUUUCAUCUCAGUUGUUUCUUUGGCCUUUAUAAUUGUCAAAAACAAAAGGAAAGAUAAGACGACUAGCAGAGAAGUUGAUGAGUUGAUAUUCAUUGUGCCGGAAAGAAUCUCUUAUUAUGAACUGCUGCAAGCAACGGAAAGAUUCGAUGAAAGCAAUUUACUUGGCACUGGGAGUUCUUGCUCUGUUUAUAAAGGAAUUCUUAACAAUGGGAAGGAUAUCGUUGUCAAGGUGUUUAAUAUGCAGCUAGAAGGUAUUUCAAGAAUAUUUGAUGUCGAAUGUGAGAUACUACGUAGCAUUCGACACAGGAAUCUGACAAGCGUCAUAAGCAGUUGCUCCAAUGAAGAGUUCAAGGCAUUAGUACUUGAAUAUAUGCCAAAGGGAAACCUUGAAAAAUGGUUAUAUUCCCACAACUAUUGCUUGAAUAUGAUGGAAAGAUUGAAUAUAAUGAUUGAUGUUGCAUCUGCUUUGGAGUAUCUUCACCACGGUUAUUCAAUGCCCAUUGUCCACAGCGACUUGAAGCCUAGUAAUGUGCUGUUAGAUGAAGACAUGGUUGCCCAUGUAAGCGACUUUGGGAUAGCAAAGUUGUUAUGCGAUGGAGAUAGCUUUGUGUUAACCAACACGCUAGCAACAUUGGGUUACAUCGCUCCAGGUGAAGUUUCUCUAAAUAUAUUGAUUGCACUUCACUUUCAAUCAAUUAAUUGUGUCUUCCUAACUCAUACAUCAUGAUUUUGUUGUUCCAGAGUAUGGCUUGGAAGGGCAAGUUUCAACAAGGUGUGAUGUGUAUAGCUACGGGGUGAUGUUGAUUGAAACUUUUACGAGAAAAAGGCCUAGUGAUGAUAUGUUUUGCGGAGAUAUGAGCUUAAAGAGAUGGGUAGAACUCUCACUUUCGGAGAACCCAGAUGAAGUGAUAGAUGCCAACUUAGUCAUGAAUUUGGAGGAAGAAAUGAUUGACAAGAAUAUGCAGUGUGUGUCAUCCAUACUUGAAUUGGCUCUGAAAUGCUCCGCCGACUCUCCCGGGGAUAGAAUCAACAUGAAACAAGCACAUGCAGAGUUGCAGAAAAUCAAACAUCGAUUUUCCCAAUGAGAUUCAAGUAAGCUAUUUUAAAGUUCUAUGUUAUUUCUAAAAGCAUAUUCAUAUCCCAAAUUUCUAUGGCAAAGUUAGCUAAUGAAGUCUUCUUCAUUUGGUGGCUUUGAUGAGGCAUGUAGUGUCGAAGAUUUUGAAGAGGCUGUAGAUGCUAAUUGGGGUGAGGCAGUGGAUAGUUGUGAGGUGGAUGACAUAAAGAAUGGAAAAUGUUGUUCUUUAUUAUUACUAUUGUACUUGUCUUUUAAUAAAAAAAUUCCUAAAAUGUAUGGAAUGCCUAAAUAAAAAAUUCGGCCCCCGUCAAAGUUCAGCCCCCCGAACUAAAUUCCUGACUCCGUCACUGGAUAUUCCUCUUUGUGGGGAAUAGUUAGUGAUGCUUAGUUGUUUAUAUUCUGGCCAACAGAACAAUAUUUGCAUUGACCAAAAGCUCACACUUUAAUUUAGAAGGUAUGCUAUAUCUGGAAUAAUUGUCUCUCUGUUUCUUCCUUUGCUUUAUCCAGUAGUAUUCUAUCUUUUCAAGAGCUUUAUUCCGGAGAUGCCGCGCAGGUCAUAUAAUAUGCUCACUUUGUCACACUGAACAUGAGGUUGGUUUUACUCAUUUUACUCUAUACUCAUUCAUCUUCAUGAAUAAGAAUUUGGAAACCUCCACACUACCUGCAUUGAAGCAUGGCUGCUAGAAGUCUAGAACUGUUCUGUCUCAGUUAAGCUGAAUAUAGUUACUAAUGUCAAACAUGUAUAUAGAAGUUGAAAACAUAAUACGAGAAAAUGGGGAAGGGAAGUUCAAAUAUGUCUUGGCCUGCUGGACUUGCAAAUGAGUUAGGCAAGAUUGGUCUUAUUUAUGGGUUGGGGAAGAGGUUGCCUGUUCUCAGAUUAAUAAUGUUUUAGCUGUAGUAUGAUGUGUUUUGGGGAUUUUCCUUCUUUUUCUCUAUCAAUCUCUUAUUUUGUUGGUUUGGGUGUGUUACUCAACAAGUUUGCAUAAAUUGUGGGGUGUGCAUGGGAAGAUACUAUAUAUUGUGGAACUCGCAAGCUGUAUGAUGCAUGAUGGUUGUGAGUAGGAAGUAUCUUCCUGUAUGCAUGCUGAUCUUUUGUUGAGUAAGAAGAAAAAGAUGGAUAGUAGUUGAUAACAGUGGGUAUUGUUGUUAGUAGAGUUCGCGUCCCAUUAUAAAUGUGUGGAGGAAAAUAAAGUGUUAUAUGGACCCUACUACUUUAAAUGGAGCUGGAAAUGAUAUUGUGAACAACCCAAAAUAGCAAAAGUGGAAACGAUAUCGUGGACGGAGGGAGUAUGUGGUUUGUUUUGCGUUCCUUAAACUAACUUCUACAGUAAUCUGCACAAAUCCAAUCUUAAUAUUAUCUUCUUGUUUUUAUGGCCUUAAUUAGUUUGCUUAGAUCAUCUUGUUGCUGAAGCGCACAAUGUUUCUAUAUAUUUCAUCACUGUUCUUGCCUAGCUGACUAAACGUGGUUUUUUAGUAUCAAUUUGGAGUUUUCGAUUGUUCGCGAGUUUUUCUUGUUUUUGUUUUGCAAGCUCACUAUAUUAUUGAAUGAUUUUUUUUUUGGGGGGGGGAGCAAUUAUGAUUCCUAUGGUAGGCUGAGACGAAAGGUCUUAAGAUAGCCGAGACGGAGGGAGUACUAUAAUUGAUAUGACAAUAGACAAAUAUUGACAAAAUCAUGAAUUUGGAUCCUUAAAUGGAGAUCGUUAAUGGCUCUCAUUUUAUUCCAUACUCAAUAUCGUGGCCGAAUAAUAUAAAUCGACAUAAAUUUAUACUAUAUUUAUUUGCAUAGGACCAUUUCCACUAAAUUUUUUUUAACAAAGAGGCCAAACCAAGGCCUCUCAAAGGGUUUAUGGUUUAUAAAUAAGUUGAAUUUGUGCACUGAAAUAAGUGAUCAAUUUGUUAGUUUCACAAAUUUAAGAAAAGUUAUAACUCUAUCUAGGAGUAUAAAUUUUAAGCCCAUCGAACACGUGCAUGCUAAACAAUCUUAUAAAUUGAAAAUUAAAUCAAACUUGAAUUCUUUUAAUGUAUCGAAUACUCAUGAAAUUUAAUAUGACCCUACUUAAUUACACACGUAAUUCCAUUGCAUCCCUAAUUACUACCUUUCAAGACAAACCUCAAGAAACACUUAUUAAGAACCUAAAGUUACUGUCUGAAACAUGAAGCUCCACUAUCAUUCAUGCCAUUUAGUCACCUAAGAAAAGUAUUAAGACUCACGGGGUGGUUUCAAUUCAGAUUCUAUAUAAAAAAAAUUGUAUUUCAAAUGUCUAUAGACUAUAGGUAUUCAAAUCAGAUUUUAAAAAGUCCUUAAAAGUCUGUUGGUAUACAAUUAUUUGUAGAUCUAAUCAAGUUAAAUGAUACUAAAAUUAAGUUGUAAGAGCCAGAAAAUUAGUACGGUUGAAUUGGAUAAGUAGUCAUAGGUUAACGGUUUGUUAAUGUUAUCUAUGUACCUCUGCAAUAUAUAUAUAUAUAGUGAUAUUAUGUAUGAGUGCGCUCACACUUACGGGGAAAAAAAUCCUUAUAUGAUGCGCUCAUACAUAACAAAAAAAAUAUCAUUAUUUAUAUAUAUCUAUUAUACAUAACUUUUUUUGCCGUUAUAAAAGAAUUCACAACUAUGAGCUCUUAAAUUAUUAAGUGUCAGAAACAAAAAUAUUUUAUAUUUUUCAAAAAGUUAUUUUAUACUAGUAUUAUCUAAAUAGUUUAUUAAAACUCGAUAUGUUAUAUCUUGUCAAUGACAUUUAACAUAAACAUAAAUUAAAAAUAGAAAAAAAAAAUUAUAAUUCUCCAUUCAAAAUACAAUAUGUAAAGAAAAGUUAAAUUGGCAACCCAAAUUAUCAACAAAUAAAAUCCAGCCCAUAUACAACAUGUUGAAAAUUCAACCCAAAAAACAGCCCCAAGUCCAACCCAUAUUAUAUAGUAGUAUAUUCCAUUUGUCGCAUUAAGACAACAAAUAAAUAAGAUACAUAAUUUCAUUAAUCAACACAUACUAUUUCAUUAAUCAACACAUACUGCAAUUCCAUUAAAAUAAAUACAACAGUUGGCAAAACCAAUGAACGUUAGAACACAUAUCAUGUUUAAUUGGUAUAUGAACUCAUCAUGCCCUUUUAAACUCCCCUCCAUCAGCUAUCAUAUUCUUUGUAAACUUAUUGCUUUCUUUUUUCAACAACAUGCUUUGUUUGCAAAUUUUGUGUAAACUGAUUUUAUAUAUAUACACCAAAGAAACAACCCCAUUCAUAUGCGAUAUUAUAAACUCAAAUGAGCAAAAGUUGAAUAUAUUUUACAACCAAUAUAAGCAGUACAUAUGUUUUCUUUUCAUUUAGCUGAGCUGGCCCAAUGUUCUUUUUUUUAUUUAAUUGGGCUGCGGUUUGUAAUAUUUAGCAUGGGCCGAUGAAUUUCAGAUUUUGGGCUGUGCAUAUUUGUGUUUAAACGGACCACCUUGAUUAUUUAAUUAGACUAUCAUUAAUUUAAUUAAUUCUUUUUAAAGUAUAAUUUGUAUAAUAAUAUUAUAUUAUUAUGUGCAUAUUUUAAGUAAUUAUUUAUUAUAUGUUUGAAGCAUGACAUAAAAUUGAAUUUGCACAGGUAGAAGUGUACGUAGAAGUAUGAUGUGGCUGCUUCUUAUCUCCAUUGUAUAGUUUUGAAGUGUGGAUAUACCUUUUUACUGAUUCCUGCUCACUUUAAAUUAUCCUUUUGCAAGUGGGACUUUUCUCAAUCCAAAGUUUGAUUCUAUAUAUCUGUUUCUAUAUAAUCAAUCGAGAUAUAAGGAUUUAGUUUGCAUUUCUAUAUCGAUCAAGUCUUGGUCUGCGUCUCCCUCUUUGUCUCAACUCUUCACCUUCGUCUUCGUCUUCGUCUGCGUCUUUGAUAGGAUAUUGCUCGGCUAUGACUACUUCGAGUGAGUCUAACUCCAAUUCAAAAGGAAUAAUAGAGAAAGCAGAUAAUUUCAUUCAUUCAAAAAAAUGCCCUUGUACAUACUCUCAUCUGCUAUUUAUUUGAUACGAGCCACAACGGCCUGCUCUGCAACAUGCAGGACUCCUAACAAACUAAGAUAUCCUAACAGCAGGUGGGGACCUUCAUCAAGGACUAUCAGGUGCUCCGCCCCAUGGCAAAGUCACGGAAACGGGCCGGCAUCUUUCGAUUGCGCGUGGGCCUACCCUCAGUGCGGAGGUCUUCCUCAUUCUGGACUUCUUCUUCAAGUUGGGCUACCACUUCAUUGGGCUUAGUCUGCCCCGAUCCAGUAGUUGUAUCAGUCUUUGUCUCAACUCUUCACCUUCGUCUUCGUCUUCGUCUCCGUCUCUGUCUUUGUCUCAACCUCAAGUCUUCGUCUUCGUUUUGUCUUCGUCUCAAACGGAAAAAACAAAAAAACAAAAAAGACGUCAAAAGGCACCACCCGUGAAGACUCUCAAGUCUUAUAAUAUUUGUGUAUAUAUGAUGAUUAUUGGAUGCAUUUAUUAGCGACUUAAUUAUCAUAAUACAUUCACAAUUUGCAGCCAUGGACAAAAAGUGGACUAUCUUUUUAGUAAAAACAAUAUUUUUAUAUAGUAUUAAUUAGAAAAGUGGACUAUCUUUUUGGAACAUCUCAAAAUGGAAUAAGGGACUAAAAUGGUGGGACGGAGUGAGUAUAAUUUGUGGAUCCCUUUCUUCACUCACUAACUCGUGGAUUCUUUCUUCAUUCACUAACCUAAUUAACCUUUUCCACUUUUCUUAAUUAUUUUUGGGCUUCUUUAUCCACUCACGACCUAAUGGUAAAAAUAGGACCGUAACUUUCAGAAUUUUUAGAAAAAGGACUAUAAGUUACGGAUUUUGAAAAUAAGGACUAUAAUUUUGUAUUCUCGUUUUAACAAUUAACAGUUAUAUUUUUUUUAGGAAAAUUAACAAUUAUAUUUGUUUUAUCUUAAUUAAUUUAAUAUCCUAAAAGAAAGCUACAUAUAUACGUUCAUUAUAAUGUUAAAAGACAUAUAUUAUUUCUUUUUUACAUUUAAUUAGAAGAAUAAAUUAUAAAAAANUAUGCCAUCAAUUUUGAAUAGAGAGAAGAGAUUUUGCAGUAUGGCAGAUUUGCAAGCAAGGAAGAAUUGAGUAAGCAGGAAUAUCUAAAGAUAUUUAAAGACAUUUUUUUUGUGAAGAAAACCUGAUGGCAUAUUUUUUUAUAAUUUAUUCUUCUAAUUAAAUGUAAAAAAGAAAUAAUACAUGUCUUUUAACAUUAUAAUGAACGUAUAUAUGUAGCUUUCUUUUAGGAUAUUAAAUUAAUUAAGAUAAAACAAAUAUAAUUGUUAAUUUUCCUAAAAAAAAUAUAACUGUUAAUUGUUAAAACGAGAAUACAAAAAAGAAACAAAAAAAUUUUUUGCAAAAAAGUUGACAAUAUGGCAGUCCACGUCAGCAACGGGCUCUACGUUGCAUCAAAAUCCCGAACAAUUAAUUUUGGGCCCGAAACAGGAGUGUAAAUGUUAAAAAAAAAUUAUAGUCCUUAUUUUCAAAAUCCGUAACUUAUAGUCCUUUUUCUAAAAAUCCUGAAAGUUACGGUCCUAUUUUUACCAUUAGGUCAUCCACUCACUAAAUAUACAACACAAAUUUUCUUAAAAUGCGUGUCAUCCUCAGGCGUGGACAAAGAGAGUAUUUGUUAUCAUACACAAUUAAAACAUACUUCCUCAGUUCUACUUUACUUGGCAUGGUUUUUUUUUUUGGAUCGUCCCAUCUAACUUGGCUUGUUUCAUUUUUUAGUAAUAAAAUUUUACUAUAUAAUAAAUAUGAAUCUACAUAUUUUACACUAUAUUAUUGUUAUUAUUAUUAUUAUUAUUAUUAUUAUUAUUAUUAUUAUUAUUAUUAAAAAAAUAAACUUUUUUUAGGCAUUCCCAUAUGCAUGGGAAUAGGCUAAUCCCAUAUGCAUGGGGGAGGGGAGGAAUGGCUAAUCCCAUAUGCAUGGGAAUAUGCAUUUCAUUGGGAAUGACGAUUCUAAUUAUAAAAACGGUACCAGCCAUAGGAUUGAGAAUUGACACAGGAAUCAUCAUUCCAUUCUUGCAUACCAGUCAUGCCCUUAUAUGUGAUUAGCAGGUACGGAGCUAAGCUAUCUUUACAAGUUUUUGAUUUUAAAUCCAAACUAUUAAUUUGCCGAUAAAAUAAUUUGAAUUUGAGGGUUACAAUCAAUUCCCUAUCAUCAAACUUUCGACCUCACAAAUUGAGGGGGAAAAACAAACAUUUUAAACUUUUAAUAACCUGUUCAUUUUAAAUUCAUUUUUAUGACUUUUAUAACAUAUUAAAGAUCUUCUGAAAACAACUUAAGAUGCGGAGUUUAAAUUUAUUUAAGGCCAUUAUCUUAGGGUUAUUUGCAAAAAUAGGCCACUAUUUUUCGGACUUGCAAAAAUAGGCCAAUUAUUUUAAUUUUGGUAUUUUUAGGCCACAUGUGUACCCAAUCAGGCUAUUUUGGGCCACAUUUUGACCCCAAAAAGUGGCCUAUAAAUGCUGAAUUGGGCUCAAAUGUGGCCUAAAAAUGCAAAAAACUAAAAUAAUUGACCUAUUUUUGCAAGUCCGAAAAAUAGUGGCCUAUUUUUGCAAAUAGACCUAAGAUAAUGACCUUAAAUAAUUUUAAACUCUAAGAUGUGCAUUGAAUAUUUUUCUCAUAAAUUAAAUUUGAUUAUGUUUAGAAAAUAAUUAAAAUUAUAAAGCUGUUUGGAUAUAAUUAAAUGGGGAGUGAUUUUUGGACACCGGGUGUCUUAGACACCUUCAUAAAAAAUCAGUUUUUGCUUGAUGUUUAAUAUUUAGUGAUUUGUCUAAAAUAUCAUUUCCAAAAAUAUAUUCAACCGAUUUUGCUAUUAUUUUUAAUUUUUAUAUUUUUUUAUAUAAAAAAUUAGUGAAUAUGGAAAAAAAUAUUAAAAAAUAUAAAAAUAAAAAAUAAUAAGAAAAUCGAUUGAAUAUAUUUUUGAAAAUAAUAUUUUAGACAAAUCACUAAAUAGAAAAAAACAAUCAAAUUAAACAUCAAGAAAAAACUGAUUUUUUAUGAUGAUGUCUAACCAAAAAUCUUUUCCCAUAAUUAAAUAUAUGCAAUUAAUUUAUUCAGUAAAGACGCUUUUGGACUGCUUUAAAUAUAAACUAAAGCAAAGAAUUCGAGUUUCCCCUUUUCUCUUUAGACCAUAUUACAGCUUUUUUAAAAGCUUUGGUUUAAUCGAUUAAUUUGCAAAAGAUGCACUUUAUUUUUUUGUCUUGUAUCAACUUUUAUUUUUCGGGAUAAUAUAUAAUGGACUAUAUAUGGUGUACCUUAUAUAUUUUUUUACUAGAGAAAGUAAAAAUUAGAAAACUUGAAUUCAUGAUAGGUGGAGUGGAAAUGAAAGAAAAGACUCGGAAAGAUUAGUUAGGAUGAUCCAUUUUCCAAAAGGUGAAAAAGGAGUGGAAAAAACAGAAAAACAUAGAUAGGUCCCACCACUACAAGUUUUCUAAGUCAAAAGGUUUAGAAAAAUAUUGAAAUUUAUGUUGUAUGAAUCGGAAUCAUGAUCAUUGCAUUAUAAAUUUAUAGAUAUAGGGUGUGUUUGCUUUUUAUCCUUCUAAAUGGAGGGAUAACAAAAAUUUGUGCCUUCACAUUUUACACAAAAGAGAAAUUCACUAUUUUUUUUUCCUUAUUUUUUUGGUGUGAUAAUAUUAUCCCUCCUUGAGGUGAAAAUAAGGAAGAAAAAAUGGUGAACUUCUCUUUUGUGUAAAAUGUGGGAUAAGAAAUUAGACAUUUAAAUGCAUAAAUUUUUAUUAUCCCUCAUUUUCCCAUCCAUCAAAGUGAACGCACCCAUAAAGAUUAAUAUAGCGUGCAAUAUUAUCAUAAUUGACAUAUUAUUAUAUUAAUAUAUAACACUCAAACGGAAAAACAAAAAACAAAAAAGCUAGACAUCAAAUUAAAGCCACAACCAUGAAGACUCUCAAGUCAAGCAAGUCUUGUAAUAUUUGUGUGUAUAUAUAUGAUGAUUAUUGGAUGCACAUAUUAGCGACUUAAUUAUCAUAAUACAAUCAUAAUUUGCAGCCAUGGACAAAAAGCUUUCUUGCAUUUUGCCUUGUGCAUUCCUAAUCACCAUAACCUUCCCAAUGCUUUCUUCUGAAGCCAAACAACCUUUGAGCCUUGCAACUGAUCAAACUGCCCUUCUUUCACUCAAACAUACAUCUCUUUUACUUGCAAUUAAUUGGACCAACUCCACCUCCGUCUGCAGCUGGAUUGGCGUCACUUGCAGCUUCCGCCACCACAGAGUAGUUGCCUUGAAUCUCUCCAACAUGGCUCUCUCCGCCACCAUUCCACCGCAGCUCGGACACCUCUCCUUCCUCGUCUCCCUCGACCUCACCAACAACCUUUUCCAUGGAGAUUUGCCUCAAGAGCUGUCUCUCCUUCGCCGUUUGAAGUUCAUAUCUUUCCGACUCAACAACUUCACCGGAGACAUCCCUCCGAUGUUGGGUCAGUUACCAAAAUUAGAGCACUUGUCUUUAAGCAACAACAGCUUCAUAGGUUCCAUCCCAAAAUCUCUCUCAAACCUCACAAACCUACAAUUUCUUGACUUAUCUUCCAAUUCUCUAAGUGGAGAAAUUCCAAAAGAGUUUGGGAGACUUCAAAGUCUACAAACUCUGUAUGUUGAAUCCAAUCAUUUAUCGGGUGCUAUACAAUCAGCCAUAUUCAACAUCUCGACCCUUGUAGUUAUAGCAUUGAGAUACAAUGAACUGAGUGGAAGUCUUCCGACAGACAUGUGUCGUAAUCUUCCAUUUCUUGCUCUCAUUCGUCUUUCUAGAAAUCGGCUGAGUGGUGCGAUUCCCACAAAUCUGUCCCAAUGUUCACGGCUUGAGGUGUUGAGCCUCGCAUACAACUCUUUUAGUGGGGAGAUACCUUCAGAAAUCGGCUACUUAACAUCUCUUCAGUAUUUAGCUCUUGGUGGUAACAAUUUGAAUGGUAUGGUUCAAAGUUCUUAUCACAUAAAUUUGUGUAAAUGAGAUUUUAUUAGUUUCAUGACACUUUUUUUGCAGGAAUACUACCACAUGAGAUUGGCCAUCUUCAGAGUCUGGUUACUUUUGGUGCUGAAAUCAAUCAGAUUGGGGGCUCAAUUGAUUUCAAUAUUUUCAUGAAUAUGUCUUCUCUGCAAACCUUAAUACUAUGGCGUAACAAAUUCACGGGGAACCUUCCAAGGGAUGUCGGGAAUAUUACCAUGCUAACAGUGUUACAACUCAAGGAAAACCAUUUAACAGGUACAACAGAGCAAUUUUCAUGUAAAUUGUCUGUUUAGCUACAAUUUUGUAAUCUCAUGUUUUGCAGGGAUUAUUCCCACUGAAUUUGGCCAACUUUACCAUUUGGAGACAUUAGAACUACAAUCGAACAGCUUGAGUGGUUCGAUUCCACAUGAGCUCUUUAACAUUUCAACUCUUCGGAUUCUUGCACUUACCAACAAUGCUCUGUCAGGGGUUCUUCCAACCCAUUUAUGCCAUGCCUCUCCCUUUCUUGAACAACUUUAUCUUGGCACAAAUUCUAUCACCGGAGCAAUACCCAACUCCAUCUCUAACUGUUCUCAACUCACAAUUCUCGCACUUUAUAAAACAAAUUCAGUGGUUAUAUACCUACUCAUCUCGGCAACCUAAGACUUCUUCAAGAUCUUCUACUGCAUAGAAACAAUCUUACCCAGCCACCAUCUUCUUCCUUCAUUACUUCAUUGACAAAUUGCAGGUCUCUAACUCAUUUGGAUAUUUCUUAUAAUCCUAUAUACAACAUCAUUCCAGCUUCUGUCGGGAACUUAUCUUCCUCACUUCAAACAUUCUAUGCCAGCAACUGCAAAUUCAAUGGCAACAUUCCUGAUGAAAUUGGCAAUUUAAGCAAUUUGAUGACAUUGGCUUUGCAAGGCAAUGAGUUAUCAGGUAAUAUUCCACUAACUAUAAGCCAUUUGCAUGAACUUCAAGGAUUACGUAUGUCUGAUAACAUGUUGGGAGGCUCAAUACCACAUGCUAUAUGUGAUCUAUUCAGCCUCAAUACUUUAGUUAUGAGCCAGAAUCAAUUUUCAGGCCCAAUUCCUAAAUGUCUUGGAAAUGUCUCUUCUUUAAGACAUCUUCUUCUAGAAUCCAACAUUUUGAAUUCAAGCAUACCAUCAAGCUUAUGGGGCCUAAAAGAUUUGAUCACUCUAGACUUGUCCUCAAAUUCAUUAAAUGGGUCACUACCUCUAGAGAUGAGUAACUUAGGAGCAGCGAUCUAUAUAAACCUAUCAAUGAAUCAGUUGUCAGGGUCAAUUCCGACGAAUAUUGAAAAGUUGCAGAAUUUGAUUAAUUUGUCUUUGGCAAAUAAUAGACUAGAAGGUUCUAUUCCUGUGUCUAUGGGAAAAAUGACCAGUUUGGCAAAUCUCGACUUGUCGUACAACAACCUCUCUGGUUCAAUUCCAAAGUCUUUAGAAGCACUCCAACACCUCGACUACUUUAAUGUCUCUUUCAAUAGUUUGAGUGGAGAAAUUCCUAAUGGAGGUUCGUUUAGAGACUUCACUAUGGAUUCUUUUAAGGGUAAUNNNNNNNNNNNNNNNNNNNNNNNNNNNNNNNNNNNNNNNNNNNNNNNNNNNNNNNNNNNNNNNNNNNNNNNNNNNNNNNNNNNNNNNNNNNNNNNNNNNNNNNNNNNNNNNNNNNNNNNNNNNNNNNNNNNNNNNNNNNNNNNNNNNNNNNNNNNNNNNNNNNNNNNNNNNNNNNNNNNNNNNNNNNNNNNNNNNNNNNNNNNNNNNNNNNNNNNNNNNNNNNNNNNNNNNNNNNNNNNNNNNNNNNNNNNNNNNNNNNNNNNNNNNNNNNNNNNNNNNNNNNNNNNNNNNNNNNNNNNNNNNNNNNNNNNNNNNNNNNNNNNNNNNNNNNNNNNNNNNNNNNNNNNUCAAUAGUUUAAGUGGAGAAAUUCCUAAUGGAGGUUCUUUUAGAAACUUCACUAUGGAUUCUUUUAAGGGUAAUGAGGCAUUGUGUGGAAUCCCCAAGUUCCAUGUCCAAAUUUGCUCUUCAAUUACUAAUCACAGAUCAAAGGAAAGAAGGUGGAACGAGCUUCAUUUAUUGUUUUCGGGGUUGUGGCUUUCAUCUCAAUUGUUUCUUUGGCCUUUAUAAUUGUCAAAAACAACGGAAGAUAAGACGACUAGAGAAGUUGAUGAGUUGAUAUUCAUUGUGCCGGAAAGAAUCUCUUAUUAUGAACUGCUGCAAGCAACGGAAAGAUUCGAUGAAAGCAAUUACUUGGCACUGGAGUCUUGCUCUGUUAUAAAGGAAUUCUUAACAAUGGGAAGGAUAUCGUUGUCAAGGUGUUUAAUAUGCAGACUAGAAGGAUUUCAAGAAUAUUUGAUGUCGAAUGUGAGAUACUACGUAGCAUUCGACACAGGAAUCUGACAAACGUCAUAAGCAGUUGCUCCAAUGAAGAGUUCAAGGCAUUAGUACUUGAAUAUAUGCCAAAGGGAAACCUUGAAAAAUGGUUAUAUUCCCACAACUAUUGCUUGAAUAUGAUGGAAAGAUUGAAUAUAAUGAUUGACGUUGCAUCUGCUUUGGAGUAUCUUCACCACGGUUAUUCAAUGCCCAUUAUCCACAGCGACUUGAAGCCUAGUAAUGUGCUGUUAGAUGAAGACAUGGUUGCCCAUGUAAGCGACUUUGGGAUAGCAAAGUUGUUAUGCGGUGGAGAUAGCUUUGUGUUAACCAACACGCUAGCAACAUUGGGUUACAUCGCUCCAGGUGAAGUUUCUCUAAAUAUAUUGAUUGCACUUCACUUUCAAUCAUUUAAUUAUUGUGUCUUCCUUACUGCAUAAAUGAUGAUUUUUGUUGUUCCAGAGUAUGGCUUGGAAGGGCUAGUUUCAACAAGGUGUGAUGUGUAUAGCUACGGGGUGAUGUUGAUUGAAACUUUUACGAGAAAAAGGCCUAGUGAUGAUAUGUUUUGCGGAGAUAUGAGCUUAAAGAGAUGGGUAGAAAUCUCACUUUCAGAUGAAGUGAUAGAUGCCAACUUAGUCAUGAAUUUGGAGGAAGAAAUGAUUGACAAGAAUAUGAAGUGUGUAUCAUCCAUACUCGAAUUGGCUUUGAAAUGCUCUGCCGACUCUCCCGGGGAUAGAAUCAACAUGAAACAAGCACAUGCAGAGUUGCAGAAAAUCAAACAUCGAUUUUCCCAAUGAGAUUCAAGUAAGCUAUUUCAAAGUUCUAGGUUAUUUCUAAGAUAAUAUUGUCUAUUACGAUUUAUUGAUUUUCCCAAUGAUAUUUGUGUUUCACAUAUCUUUCGUGAAGGGAACCAAGUUGUUGUCAUUAUGGCAAAUCCAAAUACUCCGACUGGUUGGUGGACUCAUGCUAUUCCCUUGAUUGAGGAAACCGUUCAAAAGGAUAUUCAUAUCCCAAAUUUGUAUCGCAAAGUUAGCUAAUGAUGUCUUAUUCGUUUGGUGGCUUUGAUGAGGCAUGUGGUGAGGUGGAUGACAUAAUGAAUGGAAGAUUUGGCUUGGUCCUUUGUUGGUUUUUGCUAUCAUUGUUAAUUUGUUCUUCUUGUUUCUGCUUUUNUUUUUCUCGUUGUAAUAGACGAAUACUCUUUUCCCUUUUUUGAUGUUUUUUCCAUUGGAUUUUCGUCAGAAAGAUUUUAACGAUGCUCAGCCCUUAGUUAGCGACUUUGUACUUUCAAGGGUUUGUUAGGUUUUCUUAUUCCAAAUAUAUAACGGACUUAGCAAAGUCAUGUUAUAUAGUUUGUUGAUAGAAAUUUUAUUUCUAUUUAUUAUCACUAUUAGUUAAGUCGUGAAUGUAUUCCGGCUUGUGAAGUGGACUUAAUCUAGAUAUUAUAACAGCAAAGCGAAUUAAAUCUUCGGAUUUAAUUUAGAAUUAUUUUACAGUCUAUCGAUUUUGGUAAGACAGGAAAACAGAUAUUGUAAUACGAGAUUUAUUAGAAUAGUCAGUUACAAACAUGCGAUGUUAGCAAACCCAAAAUAUAUUAUAGUAUGAGAUAUGGAAUGGCAAACACAGAAGGAUUUUAUUUCAUUGAUCACCUCAACCUUUUAUCACUUACAAUCAACUUUGAUUCCUACUCCCUACCAUCCUACUACACCAACUCCCAACAGCUCACUUUCCCAUCAGCUGCUCUCCUCUACAGCAAAUUUGCAGCCUCAGCCAUAUUGAGGUAGUUCUAGCUGGUUAUUCAGCCACUCUAGGAUGUCAAUCAGCCACCAAUCCAUGUUGCACUAAUCACUCAAAGAUAAUCCACUCACUCCAAUCCUUAAAGAAGCCAUGUAAUCACUCAUCUUUUCUAGUGAAUACAACUUCAAGAAUUUUGAGUGCAUUUUCAUUACUUUUUCAAUAUGAAAUCUUGAGCAGAGUAUAGUAUUCGUAUUAUAUUUAGCUCAAUUCGCUUCAAAUUCAGGUCCAUAUUCUCAUCCAUUGAGAAUAUAUAUAAUCGUCUAGCUCAUCAUCUUGAAUAUGAUGUCCUGCAGCACUCAAUUGGUCAGCAUAGCUACGCAUUCGAAGAAAGUAAUCAUCAACACUCAAUGAUCCUUUUUUCUGUGAAGGGAGCAUCUUUUUUAGUUGAAGCACUCGAGCGGAAAAAAAUUGGUUGCCAUAGCCAUGGCGAUAGGAUCGAACGAAGGAGCAAAUCAGUUUGGAGAGAUGCAAACAACAAAUCACCACACGAUUUGCAGACACUGAUUGAAUCCUUCAGAAAAAAAUUAAGCUCUGAUACCAUGUUGAGAUAAGCUAGGCUUUAGAAAGAAGAAACAAAUGAGCUGAGAUUUCAUUGAAAACCAACUAACUGUACAUGAAGGAGAAGCUAUCUAUAUAUACAAGAGAUAGAGAAGAAAGAUGACGGUUACAACAAAAAAGCUGAAUGCUAAACUAAUGCUAAACUACUUGACACGUGGCUUGUAGCUGAGUUGUUGUAUCCUUCACACCGCAUGCAUGCAUGCCUUCAUAUAAGUAUUCUAAUAGUAGCAGACAUCAAAUGCUGGCAAACUCUCAUUUUCAUGUACAAAAAAAAGAAAAGAAAAGAAAAAGGUACUGUUAUUGAUUCUCACCUAUUUUUAUGAUUUAAAAAAUUGUUAUCUGCAUUGUCCUAUAGAUAGGGGUGUAAUCGAGCCGAAUAGUGUCUUGCUCAAGCUUGGCUUGUUUAGCUAAUCGAGUUGUUUGCUUAAUUAUCGAUUGAGCUUUAAUCGAGUCGAAUACAGUGCCAAGCCUAAUCGAGCUUUUUAAAUUUAAAUUUUUAUUUAAAAUUUUAGUUAUUUUCCUAAUACAUAAGUUAAUUUUUAAAUAUAUAAGGUAUUUUAUUCACAAAAAUAUAAUAUAUUUACUAUUUUCUUGUAAAUAAAUGAUGUUAAUUAGAUACUUAAUCCAAAUAUUAGUAAAUAUAGUAUAAAAUAUAAUAAGACAUUUAAUGAAUAAUCUUACAUUUUUAAGCUAAAUCACUUAACGAGCUUGUUCACGAGCUAAUAAGCCGAGUAUCGUCAUGCUCAAGCUUGACUUGUUUAGCUAAACGAGUUGUUCAUUAAGUUACCGAUCGAGCUUUUAUCGAGUCAAAUGUCGAAUUGCUCACGAGUAGCUUGGCUCGUUUACAGCCCUACGUACCUGUAGAUAUGGGUGGAGGUUUGAUACUACAAAUUAAUUCUCAGCACUUUUCUAUUUUGUUUACAUUUUCUUGGGCUUUGCUGAUAGUCGAAAUAUUGUGCUCUAUUGUGGAAGAAUAUACCAAAACAUGAAGCAUAUAAUAGAAAACGUGAAUUUUAGGGGCUAUUAUAAUAAGUUGUAUGUUGAAAAUUUAAUUUAGGAGUUGUAAGGAUAAAACAAUACAAUCAUAAUUUUUUUUAUAAUUUUUUUUAAAAUAAAGGGCUAUGGUGAAAAAAAUUGGGGUUUGUAUUUAAAUUUACCCUUAUUUUAAUUGGGCCUUAUGAUUUUUCUUAUAUUUCGAGCCCAUCGAUUUUUUUAUUUAUUUAAUUGGACUUGUUACUCCUUUUGGGCCGAUGACUGGGCCUCCAGAUUUACUUAUUUGGGCCUGUUUAGUGCAGACCAUUAUUAGAAAGUAAAAUAGUGAUGUUGCUCAACCUCCAUCCAUAUUCAUAUGUGGUCGCAAAAAUGGAACAUGACAUCCAACGGCCCAGAUUCAGCGCCACUCCCCAAGAUCCAACCCACAGCCGUCCGAUGCAAAUCUGCAAUCACCAAUUAGAAAGCAGCGCCAUUAUAAGUGAUUGGUGCCGAGAUCUAAGGAGGACUUGACUCAAACGGAAAAAACGUACAAAAAACAAAUAACACAUAUAAACCCGUGUCAUAAGGUCUGCCGUGGUUUUGCAGAGGAAAAGGACGCCGUUGGGGGUAUUCGGGAAGAACUUAUAUAAUAUCUCGGGAGUCCCGAAUACCGUCCUCAUCAAAUAUUGUAUCAAAAGGACAAAUAUAAGUAAGCAUCAAAAUUUCAUAAUUUCCAAAAAUAUACUAUUAUAGGAGCAAAUUAGUCAUAAAAUCAUAUAAUUCAAAAUACAACUGGGUAAAAAAUAUUGAUCAGAUUAAGUCAAAAGUGGGUGAUAUUAUAUAUUAAUAAAUUAAUUUUAAUUAAUAUUUUAAUGAUUUUUUUAAGUAUUAUUUUUUUAUGAAAAAGUUGUAAUUUGNNNNNNNNNNNNNNNNNNNNNNNNNNNNNNNNNNNNNNNNNNNNNNNNNNNNNNNNNNNNNNNNNNNNNNNNNNNNNNNNNNNNNNNNNNNNNNNNNNNNNNNNNNNNNNNNNNNNNNNNNNNNNNNNNNNNNNNNNNNNNNNNUUUCAAAUAUGCUAUCACCAUGUUCGUCAUCUCCAACCCCUUAAUAAAACGAUAAUACUAAAAAGAAAGAAAAAAAUUACCAAAAAGUUGACAUGGCACGGCCACGUCAGCAACGGGCUUUAGGUGGCACCAAAAGCCCGAAUAAUUGAUUUUGGGCCCGAAAUAGAGUAUAAAUGUUUUAAAAAAAAGUUAUAGUUCAUUUUCAAAUUAUGUAAUAUAUAGUCCUUUUUCUGAUAAUCCUGAAAGUUACGGUCCUAUUUUAACCAUUAGGUCCAUUCAGCAGGAAAACAUAAGCAUUAGCUAUUAUUUUCUAAAAAAUACAUAAAAAGGACAUGUAGGCUCUAAAUUGAUUAAAGGUGCUUGAAUUCUACUUAUUUAAUAAAGACUAGUGAAAAUAACUAACCUUCCUCCAUGUUGAUACUGUUUUAAUCGUUGUCUUAAUUUCAAACAUCAAAUCCAUAGUCAUUUACAAUACCAAAGGGCUAUAGCCAACAUAUAAAAUUAUUGUCUUAAAAAAAUAAAUAUAAUAUUAAAAGUGGAAUGUAUACUGGUGGCCUCCUAGCGGCAGUUGGAUAAAAGUAAAAACUGAUGGUUCGGCCUUGGGAGCUCCGUUCUUAUUUCUGCGGGGGCGUCUUUCGUGAAAAGUGGAGUCACGUUAGAGGAUGUUUUCAUGUGAAAGGUGGCAAGGGUUUGCUUUCGAAGCUCAGUUAUUGGCGAUUACUACGGCUAUAUAUUGCUAUCGCUCAUUCGCGUGGCUGGUAUCAACUUUGGGUAGAAACGGAUUCUUCCUACGUUGUACGUCUCUUGGAAACUAGAUCGAAUGAUGUGCCAUGGCGCUUUGUGGCGCCUUGGCAGCGUAUUCUUGCAUACAGACUUCCAACUUCGGUGAGGGUAAUGCGGCAGCCAAUAUUAUGGCAAAUAAUGAUGGGGAGGAGGGUUGGUGGCCUUAUGCUAUCGACGUUAUUAAACAGGCGGUCUCGAGAGACAUGUCUUGCCAUAGCUUUAUUCGUUGUAAAUGAUUUGGUUCUUAUCUUUAUUCAUGCUCGUUUCGACCUCUUCUGUCAUGGAUUGGAUCGUGGGUAUGGGGCAUGCAGCGGCGGCCAGAGGUAAGUGGGGUUUUGGUCUAUGUACGCUUCUUCAGCAUUUCGUCGAGCACAUGGCGUGCAUCUACCAGAAUGGUCUGUCACAGCCCCUCGUCAAAUUUUCCAACCAUGGAAUCAGAGGUCAUGAUUAUUACUAAUCCUCGUUUGAAUGAUACACAAUACUAAUAGUAUGAUAGAGCACAAGUCAUAUAUAUAAAAUAAAAUAUCGAUUAUUACUAAUCAAAGUCAGAACAAUAUAGAUUUUUUGUAUUUCUCAAGUUGUAUUUCUUAAUCAUUGAAUUCAGCCCAUCGCCUAUUCGACCAAAUUACUCAACCAAUUCCGGUUUCAAGAUCAUGAUUAAUUUCUAAAUUUCGAUUCAGACAUGGCAUCUGCAUCUGCGAGAUGUUGCUCGUCAAUCUCCGGCCAUCCAAUCCGCGCUCUAGCUCAUUCUAGAUCCACUCUUUAUUCUUUUAAGGCCUUCACGGCUUCACCGUCAGAGUUAUUAUAACGAGAAUAAUGUUUACUUUUUCUUUCCAAACUUUCCCUUGGAACGUUCAGAUUUUCUGAUCUCAUUUCUUGAGCUUUACGACUUUCCAUCAUUUUCUUAAGCUGGGCGUGACUACGCGUUGUAUGCCGAUCGAUUUCCAUCACCGGAGAACAGUUCCGACGAGCGAUUUGCAGAGAUUCGUGGCUAAUGGCUAUGGCUGUAGCCUAUAGAGCAAAAUUGUAACUUCAUAAUUAUUUUAUAUUAAGGGAUACAAAGAGUAAAAUGGGGGUUAUGAAUAGAAUCACCCUUAAAUGAUGGAUCUUCAAGUCCAUUUAUUUUUUAAGUUGGGCUGGACCUAAUUGAUUGCUACUUUUAAAAGUAUUUUGGCUAAAUUCUUUUAAGCCCAUUACAUGUAUUAUUACGCAUAUUUAUACAACUAUUAAAAUUAUUUUCUUCACUAUAUACCAGAUAUUAGGAAUUGUUUUAACACAAAGAUUUGCUUGAACAGGGUGUCUCCACAUAGCCCUCUUUCUCUUAUAAAUGUUGUAUUGAUUUGCUGAACUGGAGAAAAAAUUUCACGCUCCUUCCCAAAUUCUUCUUCAUCAUUCUGCAGAAAGAUAUAAACUGCAUUUAUGUGCAGAUAUCAUAAUUUUCUUUUACAUCCUCCAAAACUACUUUCAUUCGACUCUAUCAUUUAAACUUGAACAGCUUGAGUGGUUCAAUUCCACAUAUAAUAAAAUAAAAAAAAAAUUGGGCCCCUAAUAAUAAUAAUAAACAUAAGAGGAUAUAAAAUUUUUUAGGCGCCUGAAAAUUAUGGACACUGGGCGGUCGCCCUCAGAGACGGCCCUACACGGGGGGCGUACUAGUUAAGAAAUUGAUAGAGUCAAAUGAAAACUAAAUGUUGAUGACUUGUUCCUAUCUUGAAUAAGCAACGAGGCGAUGUAUUGACUAAUUUUAGGGUUUUAGCUGACAAUAUUGACAAUUUCCCAGCUUCAGCACUUAGUAGAUAUAAUGAAUGAGCCUCUUGAAGUUGAGGUCCUACAUAUGUCGUAGCAUCAAGAUUUUAACUGUUUUCAAACACUUGCUUCACAAAUUAAUAACUAUCAAAUGAUUUUGCUUAGAUCGGAAUAAUGUAAAACCUAUAGCUAAAUAUAAAACUUAUUAUUGGAAUAUAACAUGAAAUCUAAAACAUGUACACUUCUUGGCUGCUUCUUAUCUACACUAUAUAGUUUUCAAGUGUGGAUAUACCUUUUUACUGAUUCCUGCUCACUUUAAAUUAUCCUUUUGCAACUCGGACUUUAAUUUCUCAAUCCAAAGUUUGAUUCUAUAUAUCUGUUUCUAUAUAAUCGAUCAAGUCUUCGUCUGCGUCUGCGCCUCCGUCUCAACACUUCACCUUCGUCUUCGUCUCCGUCUCUGUCUUUGUCUCAGUGUCUUUAAGUGAUUGGGGCCAACAUUUGUAUGGACUUGACUCAAAAGCAACACCCAUCAAGACUCUCAAAGUCAAGCAAGUCUUGUACGUAAUAUUUGUGUAUAUAUAUAUUAUGAUUAUUGGAUGCAGUUAUUAGCGACUUCAUUAUCAUAAUACAAUCACAAUUUGCAGCCAUGGAGAAAAAGCUUUAUUGCAUUUUGCUGUAUGCAUUCCUAAUUACCAUAACCUUCCAAAUGCUUUCUUCUGAAGCCAAAGCCAAACAACCUCUGAGCCUUGCAACUGAUCAAACUGCCCUUCUUUCACUCAAACAUACAUCUCUUUUACUUGCAACUAAUUGGACCAACUCCACCUCCGUCUGCACCUGGAUUGGCGUCACUUGCAGCUUGCGCCACCACAGAGUAGCUGCCUUGAAUCUCUCCAACAUGGCUCUCUCUGCCACCAUUCCACCGCAGCUCGGACACCUCUCCUUCCUCGUCUCCCUCGACCUCACNGAGCUGUCUCUCCUUCGCCGUUUGAAGUUCAUAUCUUUCCGACUCAACAACUUCACCGGAGACAUCCCUCCGAUGUUGGGUCAGUUACCAAAAUUAGAGUACUUGAAUUUACGCAACAACAUAUUCAUAGGUUCCAUCCCAAAAUCGCUCUCAAACCUCACAAACCUACAAUUUCUUGACUUAACUUCCAAUUCUCUAAGUGGAGAAAUUCCAAAAGAGUUGGGAAGACUUCAAAAGUCUACAAACUUGAAUUUAAGCAAAACAGCUCACAGGUGCCAUACCAAAAGCCAUAUCAAACCUCACAAACCUACAAUUUCUUGACUUAUCUUCCAAUUCUCUAAGCGGAGAAAUUCCAAAAGGGUUGGGAAGACUUCAAAGUCUACAAACUCUGUCUGUUCAACAUAAUCAUUUAUCGGGUGCUAUACCAUCAGCCAUAUUCAACAUAUCGACCCUUGUAUCUAUGGGCAUUACAUACAAUGAAUUGAGUGGAAGUCUUCCAACAGACAUGUGCCGUAAUCUUCCAUUUCUUGCUGGGAUUUAUCUUUCUGCCAAUCAGCUGAGUGGCGCGAUUCCCAAAAAUCUAUCCCAAUGUUCAGGGCUUGAGGUGUUGGGCCUCUCUUACAACUCUUUUAGUGGGGAGAUACCUUCAGAAAUCGGCUACUUAACAUCUCUUCAGUAUUUAGCUCUUGGUGGUAACAAUUUGAAUGGUAUGGUUCAAGUUCUUAUCACAUAAAUUUGUGUAAAUGAGAUUUUAUUAGUUUCAUGACACUUUUUUUGCCAGGAAUACUACCACAUGAGAUUGGCCAUCUUCAGAGUCUGGUUGAGUUUGGUGCUGAAUUCAAUCAAAUUGCGGGCUCAAUUGAUUUCAAUAUUUUCAUGAAUAUGUCUUCUCUGCAAAACAUAAAUCUAUGGCGCAACAAAUUCACGGGGAACAUUUCAAGGGAUGUCGGGAAUAUUACCAUGCUAACAAAUUUAUACCUCGAUGAAAACCAUUUUACAGGUACAACAAAGUAAUUUUCAUGUAAAUUGUCUGUUUAGCUACAAUAUGUGUUUUUGAAAUCUCAUGUUUUCCAGGGCUUAUUCCCACUGAAUUUGGCCAACUUUCCCAUUUCGAGAGAUUACAAUUAGACUUGAACAGCUUGAGUGGUUCGAUUCCACAUGAGCUCUUUAACAUUUCAACUCUUCGGAUUCUUGCACUUGACAACAAUGCUCUGUCAGGGGUUCUUCCAACCCAUUUAUGCCAUGCCUCUCCCUCUCUCGAAGAACUUUAUCUUGGCAAUAAUUCCAUCAGUGGAGCAAUACCAAACUCCAUCUCUAACUGUUCUCAACUCACAAUUCUCUCACUUGCCCAAAACAAAUUCAGUGGUUAUACACCUACUCAUCUCGGCAACCUAAGACUUCUUCAAAGUCUUCAACUGCAAAGAAACAAUCUUAUCCAGGCACCAUCUUCUUCCUUCAUUACUUCAUUGACAAAUUGCAGGUCUCUAACUGAUUUGUCAUUUGGUAAUAAUCCUCUAAAUGGUGUCAUUCCAGCUUCUAUCGGGAACUUAUCUUCCUCACUCGAAGCAUUCUAUGCCUCCAACUGCAAAUUCAGUGGCAGCAUUCCUGUUGAAAUAGGCAAUUUAAGCAAUUUGAUGACAUUGGAGUUGUCAGCAAAUGAGUUAUCUGGUAAUAUUCCACUAACUAUAAGCCAUUUGCAUGAACUUCAAGGAUUAGAUCUUCAAGAUAACAUGUUGGGAGGUUCAAUACCACAUGCUAUAUGUGAUCUAUUCAGCCUUAAUGCUUUAGUUAUGAGCCAUAAUCAAUUUUCAAGCCCAAUUCCUAAAUGUCUGGAAAUGUCUCUUCUUUAAGAAUCUAUCUAGACUCCAACAUUUUGAAUUCAGCAUACCAUCAAGCUUAUGGGGCCUAAAAGAUUUGACCUCUAGACUUGUCCUCAAUUCAUUAAAUGGGUUCUUACCCAAGAGAUAAGUAACUUAGGAGCAGCAAUAUAUAUAAACCUAUCGAUGAAUCAGUUGUCAAAGUCUAUUCCUAGCACUAUUGGGAAGUUGCAGAAUUUGAUUAAUCUGUUUUGGCAAAUAAUAGACUAGAAGGUUCUAUUCCUGUGUCUAUGGGAAGCAUGAUCAAUUUGGCAAAUCUCGACUUGUCGUACAACAACCUCUCUGGUUCAAUUCCAAAGUCUUUAGAAGCACUUCAACACCUCGACUACUUUAAUGUCUCUUUCAAUAGUUUAAGUGGAGAAAUUCCUAAUGGAGGUUCUUUUAGAAACUUCACUAUGGAUUGUUUUAAGGGUAAUGAGGCAUUGUGUGGAAUCCCCAAGUUCCAUGUCCAAAUUUGCUCUUCAAUUUCUAAUCACAGAUCAAAGAGAAAGAAGGUGGAACGAGCUUCAUUUAUUGUUUUCGGGGUUGUGGCUUUCAUCUCAGUUGUUUCUUUGGCCUUUAUAAUUGUCAGAAACAAAAGGAAAGAUAAGACGACUAGAGAAGUUGAUGAGUUGAUAUUCAUUGUGCCGGAAAGAAUCUCUUAUUAUGAACUGCUGCAAGCAACGGAAAGAUUCGAUGAAAGCAAUUUACUUGGCACUGGGAGUUCUUGCUCUGUUUAUAAAGGAAUUCUUAACAAUGGGAAGGAUAUCGUUGUCAAGGUGUUUAAUAUGCAGCUAGAAGGUAUUUCAAGAAUAUUUGAUGUCGAAUGUGAGAUACUACGUAGCAUUCGACACAGGAAUCUGACAAGCGUCAUAAGCAGUUGCUCCAAUGAAGAGUUCAAGGCAUUAGUACUUGAAUAUAUGCCAAAGGGAAACCUUGAAAAAUGGUUAUAUUCCCACAACUAUUGCUUGAAUAUGAUGGAAAGAUUGAAUAUAAUGAUUGAUGUUGCAUCUGCUUUGGAGUAUCUUCACCACGGUUAUUCAAUGCCCAUUGUCCACAGCGACUUGAAGCCUAGUAAUGUGCUGUUAGAUGAAGACAUGGUUGCCCAUGUAAGCGACUUUGGGAUAGCAAAGUUGUUAUGCGAUGGAGAUAGCUUUGUGUUAACCAACACGCUAGCAACAUUGGGUUACAUCGCUCCAGGUGAAGUUUCUCUAAAUAUAUUGAUUGCACUUCACUUUCAAUCAAUUAAUUGUGUCUUCCUUAAUUACUGCAUACAUCAUGAUUUUUGUUGUUCCAGAGUAUGGCUUGGAAGGGCUAGUUUCAACAAGGUGUGAUGUGUAUAGCUACGGGGUGAUGUUGAUUGAAACUUUUACGAGAAAAAGGCCUAGUGAUGAUAUGUUUUGCGGAGAUAUGAGCUUAAAGAGAUGGGUAGAACUCUCACUUUCGGAGAUCCCAUAUGAAGUGAUAGAUGCCAACUUAGUCAUGAAUUUGGAGGAAGAAAUGAUUGACAAGAAUAUGCAGUGUGUAUCAUCCAUACUUGAAUUGGCUCUGAAAUGCUCUGCCGACUCUCCCGGGGAUAGAAUCAACAUGAAACAAGCACAUGCAGAGUUGCAGAAAAUCAAACAUCGAUUUUCCCAAUGAGAUUCAAGUAAGCUAUUUCAAAGUUCUAUGUUAUUUCUAAAAGGAUAUUCAUAUCCUAAAUUUCUAU